Armigeres subalbatus is the source of this 425-nucleotide long non-coding RNA. RefSeq lists it as uncharacterized. NCBI's taxonomy places the organism in Eukaryota, Metazoa, Arthropoda, Insecta, Diptera, Culicidae. The transcript is spliced from 2 exons. The record is from RefSeq and is a predicted model, not a curated record.
UCGAACUAAAGUGCACAUACCUAAGAUGUAGGUAAUCAUCGAUUACCUAAAGUUAGGUAAUGGUGGUAAACAAGAAUUAUCGUUAAAAAUUACCGAUUUCCGGACGUUACUUUUUACCGUAAAAUAGAAAAGGAUAAAUAUGGGAGCUAGAAAAGAGAUACACAUGAAUGCGGGACUAUCUGGGGGUACAGUCUCAGGAAGGAUAUGCACCAUUAUUUGUCUCAGGAAGUUUUCGCAGUGUUCGUAUCCGAUCCGGGUGGUACAACGGAAGUGCAGCGAAUCAAGCAAUAUGCAAAACACUUGGCGAGCGAUGGUGCGCAGCUGAGGAUAAAGGGAUGUAUCCACGAACCGAGUGUUGGGGCAUCAAAUUGUUGAUUCACUGUAAUCUGAAGAAAUGUUAAAUAAAUGUAAUAAAAAUCAAUGAA